Long non-coding RNA from Oreochromis niloticus (Nile tilapia), 271 nucleotides. RefSeq lists it as uncharacterized. The record is from RefSeq and is a predicted model, not a curated record. The transcript has 3 exons. Lineage: Eukaryota; Metazoa; Chordata; Actinopteri; Cichliformes; Cichlidae.
CAGAAAAAUAACUCUUUGUAUUGUGAAGCUAACACCAGCUCAAAGUGUGUGCUGUUUCUGUUCUUUACCACAGAACAGCUUCCUGGCAGCUGCCAUCCCUCUGAGAACAAUUCUGACGAGACUUGAGUGAACAGUAGAUGAUCAGCUGAAGGUCCAGAUCAUCUCGCAGCUCCUCUGUCAGAGACACACUGAGAUAUGCCAAGUUUUCAGCUAACAGCUCUUUUGGAAUCACCUGUUGUGUUUGUGUGACAUGCUGCUAGUAAUAAAGAGC